GAAUUCGCCCUUCCCAGUAGUCAUAUGCUUGUCUCCAAAGAUUAAAGCCAUGCAUGUCUAAGUAUAAGCACUUUAUACUGUGAAACUGCGAAUGGGCUCAUUAAAUCAGUUAUCGUUUAUUUGAUAGUACCUUACUACAUGGAUACCUGUGGUAAUUCUAGAGCUAAUACAUGCUGAAAACCUCGACUUCGGAAGGGGUGUAUUUAUUAGAUAAAAAACCAAUGCCCUUCGGGGCUCCUUGGUGAAUCAUAAUAACUUAACGAAUCGCAUGGCCUUGCGCCGGCGAUGGUUCAUUCAAAUUUCUGCCCUAUCAACUUUCGAUGGUAGGAUAGUGGCCUACCAUGGUGGCAACGGGUAACGGGGAAUUAGGGUUCGAUUCCGGAGAGGGAGCCUGAGAAACGGCUACCACAUCCAAGGAAGGCAGCAGGCGCGCAAAUUACCCAAUCCCGACACGGGGAGGUAGUGACAAUAAAUACUGAUACGGGGCUCUUUUGGGUCUCGUAAUUGGAAUGACUACAAUCUAAAUCCCUUAACGAGGAACAAUUGGAGGGCAAGUCUGGU
RNAcentral lists this ribosomal RNA (561 nucleotides) under uncultured Ascomycota. RNAcentral describes it as "SSU rRNA". It matches the Rfam family "Eukaryotic small subunit ribosomal RNA", at positions 1 to 565 of the family's 1831-position model. Lineage: Eukaryota; Fungi; Ascomycota. The record is from RNAcentral.